GGGUUUUUCGCUCAGCGGCGGAGCGCACGCCUUAUGAGCGUGUGAUCGAGGCUCGAUUCCCGGCAAAACCGCCA
This 74-nucleotide transfer RNA is filed under the name Desulfobacterales bacterium. RNAcentral's name for it is "tRNA-Ile". It matches the Rfam family "tRNA". From Rfam's summary of the family: Transfer RNA (tRNA) molecules are approximately 80 nucleotides in length. Their secondary structure includes four short double-helical elements and three loops (D, anti-codon, and T loops). Further hydrogen bonds mediate the characteristic L-shaped molecular structure. tRNAs have two regions of fundamental functional importance: the anti-codon, which is responsible for specific mRNA codon recognition, and the 3' end, to which the tRNAs corresponding amino acid is attached (by aminoacyl-tRNA synthetases). tRNAs cope with the degeneracy of the genetic code in two manners: having more than one tRNA (with a specific anti-codon) for a particular amino acid; and 'wobble' base-pairing, i.e. permitting non-standard base-pairing at the 3rd anti-codon position. Lineage: Bacteria; Pseudomonadati; Thermodesulfobacteriota; Desulfobacteria; Desulfobacterales. The record is from RNAcentral.